CAAAUCCAAUCCAUCAGUUGCUAGUUCAAAUGACCUCGCAUAACUCAAAUAUCAACAUCUGAUGAACAACAUUGCUCAUCUUAAACCGCGGGAAAUAAACAACCGCGAGAACCGUUUAAAAAAGUCCCGAUCGUCCAUGUAGGCUACUUUUAACGUAGCGAGACCUGGCGACAAUGCAAACGCAUCUAACGUCAAACUAUUCUGGAUAAUGUGUGAUGUCAAUAUAGUCCGUGUUUACACAUUUGGAAAGUUUUAUAUGUUCUCUCUUAAAGUCUCGUUGCGUUUUGUGAUGUUAUAAAAGAACAUGGAAGUGGACUUUUUGGUUAUAGGGCGGCAGUGGCCACUGUGAGGUUGGGGAAGGGCGGCGCGGGUAUCUGACUGCUAAUGCUGGCUUGACGUGCUCUUGGAAAUUAAUUCCUACUUCAACCCGGAAAUAACUUGAAACCCGGAAAUAAACAUUUAUAUUAGCCUACUAAUAAAAUUGGAAUUAUUGAAUUUCCGAGAGCAGGUGAAGGCAGCAUAAACCCUAAAGGGCGAAACACUGCGUUUUUUUAUUUUAUUUUGUGUUCCUAGAUAGCAAACAGGGUUAGAUUAGUAUGUUGAUUUUUGGUUAGAAAUGUCAAUAUCGGUCGUCAAUCAAAUUUCGAUGUUGAAACAUCGUUCACUAUUUGGUCGGUAUAUCGGACCGUUUCAUACGUAAGAAGUAAAACAUUGAAUCAACAUCGAUAUGAGGAUAUUAACACGACACAACUGGUCGGAAUCAUAUCCUAAUUUGGUAACUUGGUGGGAGGAGUCAGAGUUCUGCUAGCGAGCUCGAUCACACAAUUCAACUUUGCGCGUCCAACUGUCACGGACUGGAGUUCGUCUGAGGUUAAAGAGGCAACUGAUCUGACUGAAUCCACAGAUGAAAUUAUCAGCUGUGGAUACACAGGAGCAUUCAACAUAAAAACAAAAAGAUGCCAUAAAAGGGAAAGUAUUUUCCAUAUUUACAGAAUUAAGCAGUUUCAUGAAAGACACUUUGAAAGACUGUUCAAUGUCACAUUGUCAAAUUUAAUUUAACUGUUAACCUUAAUUGCCUAAUUCACAACUUGAAACAAACUUAUGCUGUAUUACUUGAUUUUUUGUUAUUAUUAAAUGUGUUGCCUUUCUAUUUCUCCACAAGAGCAAUUGUUCUUCAUGCAACAUUUCAAGUUACACCAAUGCUUAGAGACUUGCGCAAAGGCCUCCAGCUGUAUGAAUUGCUGGACAUAGUUAAGGACCUUCCAAGUCUUUGCAAGAGUCUGUUUGUUCCUCGGGAGGAUUGUACACCAGAUGCUCCUGAAAUAAGUGAGCGAGGAACUUCAAGGGCUUCGGUAGAGGGCAAAAUCAUAAACCACUUUCAGGACUUCCUUCAAGAAAUUGCAUGUGGAGGGAAAAAAAAAGAGUGCUGAAGAUGCAGCAGAAGUGGAAACUGAGCCAUCAUCCUACCUCACUGUCUCUUUGGCUUUGCUAAGCGGUCAGCUAGCUGUGAUAUCGAUGUAAAUAAAACAUUAACUACUUUAUU
Triplophysa dalaica is the source of this 1543-nucleotide long non-coding RNA. RefSeq lists it as uncharacterized. Lineage: Eukaryota; Metazoa; Chordata; Actinopteri; Cypriniformes; Nemacheilidae. The record is from RefSeq and is a predicted model, not a curated record. The transcript is spliced from 4 exons.